Molecule: ribosomal RNA, 510 nt
Filed under: Phaeosphaeria sp. UFMGCB 3760
Lineage: Eukaryota; Fungi; Ascomycota; Dothideomycetes; Pleosporales; Phaeosphaeriaceae
Description: eukaryotic LSU rRNA
Rfam family: 5.8S ribosomal RNA (bases 173-326)
Source: RNAcentral
GCGGAAGGAUCAUUAAUUUCGCUGACUUUCCACUGUUAUGAGGGGGAUUUCGGUCCCUUCUCUCCUUCCCUGGUCUUUUGAGUACCAAGUUUCCUUGGCAGGCUUGCCUGCCAGCUGGACAACCUAUAACCCUUUUAAUUUUAAAUCAGCGUCUGAAAAAUUUAAUAAUUACAACUUUCAACAACGGAUCUCUUGGUUCUGGCAUCGAUGAAGAACGCAGCGAAAUGCGAUAAGUAGUGUGAAUUGCAGAAUUCAGUGAAUCAUCGAAUCUUUGAACGCACAUUGCGCCCCUUGGUAUUCCAUGGGGCAUGCCUGUUCGAGCGUCAUUUGUACCCUCAAGCUCUGCUUGGUGUUGGGUGUUUGUCCUAUUCUUUGCAAUAGGACUCGCCUUAAAACAAUUGGCAGCCAGUGUUUUGGCAUUGAAGGCGCAGCACAUUUUGCAAUUCAAGCCCUAGCACUUGCGUCCAUAAAGCGGUUUUUACACUUUUGAACUCGGAUCAGGUAGGGAUA